This 439-nucleotide ribosomal RNA is filed under the name uncultured bacterium. RNAcentral's name for it is "bacterial SSU rRNA". It matches the Rfam family "Bacterial small subunit ribosomal RNA", at positions 358 to 790 of the family's 1533-position model. The record is from RNAcentral.
GGAAUUUUGGACAAUGGGGGAAACCCUGAUCCAGCCAUUCCGCGUGUGUGAAGAAGGCCUUCGGGUUGUAAAGCACUUUUGGCGGGAAAGAAACGGCGUCGACUAAUACUCGGCGUAACUGACGGUACCCGCAGAAUAAGCACCGGCUAACUACGUGCCAGCAGCCGCGGUAAUACGUAGGGUGCAAGCGUUAAUCGGAAUUACUGGCGUAAAGCGUGCGCAGGCGGUUCGGAAAGAAAGAUGUGAAAUCCCAGGGCUCAACCUUGGAACUGCAUUUUUAACUACCGGACUAGAGUAUGUCAGAGGGGGGUGGAAUUCCACGUGUAGCAGUGAAAUGCGUAGAUAUGUGGAGGAACACCGAUGGCGAAGGCAGCCCCCUGGGAUAAUACUGACGCUCAUGCACGAAAGCGUGGGGAGCAAACAGGAUUAGAUACCCUAG